Oncorhynchus keta (chum salmon) is the source of this 150-nucleotide long non-coding RNA. RefSeq lists it as uncharacterized. Lineage: Eukaryota; Metazoa; Chordata; Actinopteri; Salmoniformes; Salmonidae. The record is from RefSeq and is a predicted model, not a curated record. The transcript has 3 exons.
AUGUGUUAUCAUGCUAGGUUAUAAUGUGUUAUAAUGUGUUAUCCUGCUAGGUUGUAAUGUGUUAUAAUGUGUUAUCCUGCUAGGUUGUAAUGUGUUAUCCUGCUAGGUUGUAAUGUGUUAUAAUGUGUUAUCCUGCUAGGUUAUAAUGUG